GAUCAUGGCUCAGAACGAACGCUGGCGGCAGGCUUAACACAUGCAAGUUGAACGGGAUUAAUUGAUAGCUUGCUAUUGAUAUGAGAGUAGCGCACUGGUGAGUAACACGUGGGAACGUACCUAUUGGUGGGGGACAACAGUUGGAAACGACUGCUAAUACCGCAUAAGCCCUGAGGGGGAAAGAUUUAUUGCCGAUAGAUCGGCCCGCGGAAGAUUAGGUAGUAGGUGGGGUAACGGCCUACCUAGCCGACGAUCUAUAGCUGGUCUAAGAGGACGAUCAGCCACAUUGGAACUGAGACACGGUCCAGACUCCUACGGGAGGCAGCAGUGAGGAAUAUUGGGCAAUGGAGGCAACUCUGACCCAGCCAUGCCCGCGUGAGUGAAGAAGGUUUUCGGAUUGUAAAGCUCUUUCAGAUGAGAAGAUGAUGACGGUAUCAUCAGAAGAAGCACCGGCUAACUUCGUGCCAGCAGCGGC
RNAcentral lists this ribosomal RNA (475 nucleotides) under uncultured bacterium. Its description in RNAcentral is "bacterial SSU rRNA". It matches the Rfam family "Bacterial small subunit ribosomal RNA", at positions 15 to 518 of the family's 1533-position model. The record is from RNAcentral.